CUACUACUGUACACAGAUCUACUAAUAUACCUACUACUGUACACAGGUCUACUAAUAUACCUACUAGUGUACACAGGUCUACUAAUAUACCUACUACUGUACACAGGUCUACUAAUAUACCUACUACUGUACACAGGUCUGCUAAUAUACCUACUACUGUACACAGAUCUACUGAUAUACCUACUGCUGUACAUACCAGUAUAACUAAUAUACCUACUACUGUACACAGGUCUACUAAUAUACCUACUACUGUACACAGAUCUACUAAUAUACCUACUACUGUACACAGGUCUACUAAUAUACCUACUACUGUACACAGGUCUACUAAUAUACCUACUACUGUACACAGAUC
Molecule: long non-coding RNA, 352 nt
Filed under: Salmo salar (Atlantic salmon)
Lineage: Eukaryota; Metazoa; Chordata; Actinopteri; Salmoniformes; Salmonidae
Description: lncRNA (ENSSSAG00000088825.1)
Source: RNAcentral